RNAcentral lists this unclassified non-coding RNA (940 nucleotides) under Hevea brasiliensis (rubber tree). The record is from RNAcentral. Lineage: Eukaryota; Viridiplantae; Streptophyta; Magnoliopsida; Malpighiales; Euphorbiaceae.
GUUAAAUGUAUUUUGGUUAUUGUUGAUCACUUUUCAAAAUAUGGCCAUUUCAUUAUGCCAUUCAUUUAUCGCUAAAACAGUAGCUAAAUUAUUUAUUUGGAAGAUUGUCCGCCUCCAUGGUAUUUCCAAAACCAUGAUUGGUGAUCUAUCUCUUUUUGAGCAGUUUUUGGAUAGAAAUAUUUCGCCUCCAAGGCAUAUAAUUGAAAUUUAGUUCAGCCUAUCAUCAGCAAACGAACGGGCAAACGAUCGUACUAUUGAAUCCUAUCUCUGUUGUUUUUCCUCAGAGUAAUCUAAGAAGUGGUUGAGCUAGGCUGAGUAUUGGAACAACACCUCCUUUCAAGGUGCAGCUCGGCAAACACCAUUUGAGGUAGUUUAUAGUCGACCACCUCUCACUCAAUUGUUUCCUACCUGGAGACAUAUAUUGAAUCUGUGGCCUAAAAUUUGGUUCACCAUGAUGAAAUUCUCCACUAGCUACAACAUAACUUCACACGAGCACAACAAUAGAUGAAAAAAUUUGUUGAUAAGCACUGAAGGGAUGUCCAAUUUGAUAUUGGUGACAAGGUGUUUCCCAAACUUUAGCCUCACACUCAAUAAUCCAUGGUGCGAAGAGUAAAUAAAAAAUUGACAGUAAAAUAUUUUGGUCCUUUUGAGAUUGUGGGAAAAAUACGUGUUGUCACUUACAAACUACAACUGUCAUUAGCCUCUAAGAUACAACUUCUUUUUUUCAUGUUUCUCAGCUGAAGAGAGCAAUUGGCAAUCAUGUAGUGGUGACCACUCUUCCUACAGAUUUGGUAACCAGUGACACUCCUCUCAUUGAGCCUGUAGCUAUUUGUCAAACCAAGACUGUCUAGAAAAAUGGUGCAAUUGUGUAGCAAUUCCUGGUCUAAUGGAAGGAUCAUUUUACAGAUGAUGCUACGCAUUGUUAUCAAAGGCGCACCUG